Long non-coding RNA from Sciurus carolinensis (gray squirrel), 1572 nucleotides. RefSeq lists it as uncharacterized. The record is from RefSeq and is a predicted model, not a curated record. The transcript is spliced from 3 exons. NCBI's taxonomy places the organism in Eukaryota, Metazoa, Chordata, Mammalia, Rodentia, Sciuridae.
CAAGCGCUGUGUUUUCCAGGUCCGCGCAGGCCAGGGGAGCCCUGCGUGUUUGCUUGGUAGGAGUGGAUUACCGGGAAACUAGACGGAAGGUACCCUGCCAGUCGGCGUGUACUGUAUUGUUUGGGAGUGAACAGCGUGUAAAGUAAAUGUCAGACUCGAUCAUCAGAAACCCAUCAGACGUGCAUGGACUCAGCACUGAGGAAUCAAAAUACGAAUAGACAAUAAUAUGAUGUGAGAUUCAAGAAGCUCAGUGAACCCCAACAGGAUAAUUUAAAGGAAAGCCACACCUACACUCAUCAUAAUCAAAAUGGUGGAAAUCAGAGCAAAGAAAGGCCCUUGAGAGCAGCUAGAGGAAACAUUACACUUUACAUGUAGGGGAACACAAAUUCUAAGGGCUGCAGAUCUCUUCUAACACACAAAGGCAGCAGAAAAAUACAUUUAAAGCAUUGAAAGAAGAGAACAGUCAACCCAGAAUUCUAUAUCCAGCGAAAGUAUCCUUUGGGUAUGAAGUCAAACUAAAGCUAUUCUCUGAUGUAGGAAAACUAAGAGAAUUUAUCAUCAGAAUAUAUUUUCUGUACUGACUGUUGAAGGAAAUUCAACAGAAGCUGAAUGAAAAUGUUGACAAAAGAAAGUUUGCUUUCAAGAAUGAAGGAACAUAACAGAAAUGGUAAUCAAAUAGGUAAAUGCAAGAGACUAUUUUUUUAAGCACUUUAAAACACAUGAUCAUUAAAAGUAAAAUCGAUAACAUUAUCUGGUAGAGUUUUCAAUGUGUGGGAUAUAAUUCAAAUGACAAUUAUAUAGAUCAGUUGAGAGGAAUAGUAAAGAAGUUUAUAUGGUUGCAAAGCUUUUACAUUUCACUUGAAUGUGUAUGUGUGCGUGUAUGUGUAUGUGAAAUAGUAUCUACAGCAGCCACUAAUACAGAGGCAUUUGACCAAAAUACCAAUGAUAAAUUUAAACAAUACAAAAAUUAUUUAAAUAACUCAAAAUAGAGGAAGUGAAAUAGAAGGGACAAAUAGAAAUCAAAUAACAAAAUGGCAGAACUAUUUUAUUAUUUGAUUUUUAUUAUUCUAACAGUAGGAAUAAUGAUAUUAAAUGCUGAUAGUCUAAAUCAUUCCGUUAAAAGGAAAGGGUUGGUAGAGCAGAUAAUAAAGUCCUUACUAUAUAGUGCCUUCAAAUGACAUACUUUAACCACCAAGACAUAGAUAGUUAAGCAAAAGAAACACUAGAAUUGCUAUUUUAAGAUCAGAUAAAAUAGACUUCAAGACAAACACUACCACUAAAGAUAAAAAGGGAUAAUUCAUGGGAGAAUGUAACACUUAUAAACUUAUAUUAAUCUAGUAAGAGCCAUUCUGAUCCUGGGCAUAAAAACAAUACUGUUAGACAAAGUUCACAAAAUUUCUUUAUAGUUAUUAUUUUAUUUAGAAUAUGUCCCAUGGAAGAGGUAUAGCCCAAAUACCAUGGUCAAAAAUUAUUUGGAUUGAUUUUUUUUCCCUUUUGCACAGAUACCUUAUUAAUUUUAUAUAUAGGUUGGUUCAUUUGUUUCUGUUUAUAUUCUGUCUUAGAGUCUUUAUC